ACGCAAUAGAUACCCAGGUAGUCCACGCCCUAAACGAUGUCUACUAGUUGUCGGGUCUUAAUUGACUUGGUAAACGCAGCUAAACGCGUGAAGUAGACCGCCUGGGGAGUACGGUCGCAAGAUUAAAACUCAAAGGAAUUGACGGGGACCCGCACAAGCGGUGGAUGAUGUGGAUUAAAUUCGAUGCAACGCGAAAAACCUUACCUACCCUUGACAUGGAUGGAAUCCCUGAGAGAUUGGGGAGUGCCCGAAAGGGAACCAUUACACAGGUGCUGCAUGGCUGUCGUCAGCUCGUGUCGUGAGAUGUUGGGUUAAGUCCCGCAACGAGCGCAACCCUUGUCAUUAGUUGCUACGAAAGGGCACUCUAAUGAGACUGCCGGUGACAAACCGGAGGAAGGUGGGGAUGACGUCAAGUCCUCAUGGCCCUUAUGGUAGGGCUUCACACGUCAUACAAUGGUACAUACAGAGGGCCGCCAACCCGCGAGGGGGUAGCUAAUCCCAGAAAGUGUAUCGUAGUCCGGAUUGUAGUCUGCAACUCGACUGC
Molecule: ribosomal RNA, 544 nt
Filed under: uncultured bacterium
Lineage: Bacteria
Description: bacterial SSU rRNA
Rfam family: Bacterial small subunit ribosomal RNA
Source: RNAcentral